This 75-nucleotide transfer RNA is filed under the name Sulfurospirillum cavolei. RNAcentral describes it as "tRNA-Glu". It matches the Rfam family "tRNA". From Rfam's summary of the family: Transfer RNA (tRNA) molecules are approximately 80 nucleotides in length. Their secondary structure includes four short double-helical elements and three loops (D, anti-codon, and T loops). RNAcentral also lists the same sequence under 14 other names. Lineage: Bacteria; Pseudomonadati; Campylobacterota; Epsilonproteobacteria; Campylobacterales; Sulfurospirillaceae. The record is from RNAcentral.
GACCCCAUCGUCUAGUGGUUAGGACACCGCCCUCUCAAGGCGGGAACGGGGGUUCAAGUCCCCCUGGGGUCGCCA